CAGCCGCCGCGGUAAAACGAAGGGUGCAAGCGUUACUCGGAAUUACUGGGCGUAAAGCGUGCGUAGGUGGUGGUUUAAGUCCGUUGUGAAAGCCCUGGGCUCAACCUGGGAAUUGCAGUGGAUACUGGGUCACUAGAGUGUGGUAGAGGAUAGUGGAAUUUCCGGUGUAGCAGUGAAAUGCGUAGAGAUCGGAAGGAACAUCUGUGGCGAAGGCGACUAUCUGGGCCAACACUGACACUGAGGCACAAAAGCGUGGGGAGCAAACAGGAUUAGAUACCCCCGUAGUCCCUGUCUCUUAUAC
RNAcentral lists this ribosomal RNA (301 nucleotides) under uncultured bacterium. Its description in RNAcentral is "partial 16S ribosomal RNA". It matches the Rfam family "Bacterial small subunit ribosomal RNA", at positions 509 to 807 of the family's 1533-position model. The record is from RNAcentral.